This 253-nucleotide ribosomal RNA is filed under the name uncultured Acidobacteriota bacterium. RNAcentral's name for it is "uncultured Acidobacteria bacterium partial 16S ribosomal RNA". It matches the Rfam family "Bacterial small subunit ribosomal RNA", at positions 524 to 776 of the family's 1533-position model. Lineage: Bacteria; Pseudomonadati; Acidobacteriota. The record is from RNAcentral.
UACGUAGGGUCCGAGCGUUGUCCGGAGUUACUGGGCGUAAAGGGCGCGCAGGCGGCGGUGUAGGCGUGGCGUGAAAGCCCCCGGCUCAACCGGGGAGGGUCGUCGCGGACCGCACCGCUUGAGGGCGGCAGGGGCUGGUGGAAUGCCUGGUGUAGUGGUGAAAUGCGUAGAGAUCAGGCGGAACACCCGUGGCGAAGGCGGCCAGCUGGGCCGGCCCUGACGCUGAGGCGCGAAGGCGUGGGGAGCGAACGGG